CUACGGGAGGCGGCAGUAGGGAAUAUUGCACAAUGGGGGAAACCCUGAUGCAGCGACGCCGCGUGAGUGAUGAAGGCCUUCGGGUCGUAAAGCUCUGUCGUAUGGGAAUAACAAAAUGAAUGUACCAUGCAAGAAAGGAUCGGCUAACUUCGUGCCAGCAGCCGCGGUAAGACGAGGGAUCCUAGCGUUGUUCGGAAUUAUUGGGCGUAAAGCGGGUGUAGGUGGACUUAUAAGUCAGGUGUGAAAUCCCAGGGCUCAACCCUGGAAGUGCAUUUGAUACUGUAAGUCUUGAAUGUGGUAGAGGUUACUAGAAUUCCUGGUGUAGUGGUGAAAUACGUAGAUAUCAGGAGGAAUACCAGAGGCGAAGGCGGGUAACUGGACCGACAUUGACACUGAGACCCGAAAGCGUGGGGAUCAAACAGGAUUAGAUACCCUGGU
This 438-nucleotide ribosomal RNA is filed under the name uncultured bacterium. RNAcentral's name for it is "bacterial SSU rRNA". It matches the Rfam family "Bacterial small subunit ribosomal RNA", at positions 339 to 791 of the family's 1533-position model. The record is from RNAcentral.